RNAcentral lists this ribosomal RNA (253 nucleotides) under uncultured bacterium. Its description in RNAcentral is "partial 16S ribosomal RNA". It matches the Rfam family "Bacterial small subunit ribosomal RNA", at positions 524 to 776 of the family's 1533-position model. The record is from RNAcentral.
UACGUAGGGGGCUAGCGUUGUCCGGAAUCAUUGGGCGUAAAGCGCGCGUAGGCGGUCCGGUAAGUCCGCUGUGAAAGUCGGGGGCUCAACCCUCGGAUGCCGGUGGAUACUGUCGGGCUUGAGUGCGGAAGAGGCGAGUGGAAUUCCUGGUGUAGCGGUGAAAUGCGUAGAUAUCUGGAGGAACACCGGUGGCGAAGGCGGCAUCCUGGACCGGCAUUGACGCUGAGGCGCGAAAGCCAGGGGAGCAAACGGG